CUCGUGCUUCAGUCCACUCUU
This 21-nucleotide unclassified non-coding RNA is filed under the name synthetic construct. The record is from RNAcentral.